AAUAUGAAUAACUUUAUAACAAAAAAACGAAUCAGUAUGAAAAUAUAAAUUUACAAGAUAUAUGUAAAGAAUAUCAUUAUAAUAACAUGAUUUCAAAAAACAACAUAUUACAAUCUUAUAUUUUAAGUAAUCCUAUUAAUGCUGCUACAGUUAAUGAAUUAAUAACUAAUAGAUUAGCUAUCGGAGGGUAUAAAAAUUGUUUAAAAGUAUUUGAUUUGUUUACUGGUAAUUAUAUUUGGCAAGCUAAACAUCUGGGAAAUACUUUACUAAAAUUACAUUGUGACACACUUAUAAAGUCGAUAAAUUUUCUCAAUGAUAUAAAUGUUAAUGUGUUAGCAGCUGGAACAUAUGAUCAAAAAAUUUUACUUUUUGAUAUGAGAUGUCAAAGUAAGUCUGUAUAUGUUUAUGAUCAUUUUAAAACUUCCAAUGUGAGUAAAAAUAAAUUUAAUUAUUCUAAUUAUAUUUAUUCGGAAAGUGAUUUAGUUUUUACUAACAUAUGUAGUAAUACGUACAUACACGAAAUAAAACCUGAAACAUUGGCACAAUCAAAUGCGCAAAUAAAUAACACAGAAGAUCUACAUAAUUUUAAAACUGUGCAAUUUAAAAAAGAAGAAAACACCACAAAAAAUGAUACAUAUAUGCUAAACUCUAAAAAUAAAACUAAAAUUAACAAAACUGAUUUGAAACGAAAAAGAGAUGAAUCAGUAGAUAUCCUAAAUAACGAAAAUGAUGACCAGGUCAUAGCUGAAUUUAAUACAAAUGAGUUGAAAUCAACAAACAUACAGAUUUUUAAUAAGUUGGUAAUUAAAAUAGAAGAUGAAAGCAAAGAAACGAGUGAAAAAGAAAUAGAAAGCGAAAACAACGUAGUAAACGAAAACAAUGAAAAUGACAAAAUUAAAAACAUAAUUGUAAAAAAAGAAAUAGAGGAACAAGAACAAAAACAAAAACCGAAUGAAUACCCUAUUUUGGGCGAUACAAACAAAUGUAAAGAAAAUUGCAAAAAAUAUUGCAUUAAAAAAUUUGCACAUAAGGAUAGCCAAAUUAUUUUUAUUUCAGAUAAUUAUGGUAAUGUUUAUGAAUUUGAAAUAACAACGGGAAAUAUGUUAUUAAAUUAUAUAUAUAAUAAAAAAAACACAAUAGAAAAGCAAACAUGUAAAAAACAGAAAAUAGAAAGAGAUAAAUAUAUAAUAGAACAUAGAAAAGAAUUAUAUGAUUUCUAUAAAGAAUAUCAAGCAAAUAAUAAAAGUCAUGUACGAAAUGAUUUACCUGUAAUGUGGGCUAAACAUGAUUUUGAUCAAUUUUUAAUUACACUUAAAAAAAAACAUAAAUUACAUCGUGGUGCUAUUUCAUUUUUAAAUAUGCAUAAACAAAAAAACCUUCUUUGUUCUGCAAGUUACGAUCGAUUUAUAAUUAUUUUCAACAUAAAUAAAAGAAAAAUUAUUAAACGCAUACAUGUAGGAAAUAUAGUGACUUCCUGUUUGUUCCAUUCGAAUAUUAUAGAUGACGUAAACAGUAACAAAGAAGAAAGUGAUGGAGAGGAUGUGGAUGAGGAUGACGGGGAUGAGGAUGAGGAUGACGGGGAUGAGGAUGAGGAUGAGGAUGAGGAUGAGGAUGAGGAUGAGGAUGAGGAAGAGGAUGAGCAAGAGGAUGAGGAUGAGGAUGAGGAUGAGCAAGAGGAUGAGGAUGAGCAAGAGGAUGAGGAUGAGCAAGAGGAUGAAGAAAAUAGUGAGGGGGAUUAAAAUAAUAAACGAAAUAGCAAUUAUCA
Piliocolobus tephrosceles (Ugandan red Colobus) is the source of this 1765-nucleotide long non-coding RNA. Lineage: Eukaryota; Metazoa; Chordata; Mammalia; Primates; Cercopithecidae. The record is from Ensembl.